This 233-nucleotide non-coding RNA is filed under the name Clostridium felsineum. Its description in RNAcentral is "Clostridium roseum T-box sequence". It matches the Rfam family "T-box leader". From Rfam's summary of the family: Uncharged tRNA acts as the effector for transcription antitermination of genes in the T-box leader family. T-boxes are found upstream of many aminoacyl-tRNA synthetase genes and some amino acid biosynthetic genes usually in Gram-positive bacteria. Lineage: Bacteria; Bacillati; Bacillota; Clostridia; Eubacteriales; Clostridiaceae. The record is from RNAcentral.
UGAAAAUCGAUGAAAAGAAAAGUAAAUUUAAAAACAGAAUUAAAGAGAGCUGUUGUUUGGUGGAAGUACAGUAUUUAUGAUUAAAUUGAAUGGAUCUUUGAGAUUUGGAGUGAAAGUAUAUAAUUUAUAUUAUUAGUUUCAAACGUAGCCUGCGUUAAAGGAUAUACAUUAUUUUGAGGGGAGUUAUGCUCCUGAAAAUAGGUGGUACCGCGUGAAAUAUCUACGCCCUAUAG